Molecule: long non-coding RNA, 919 nt
Organism: Octopus sinensis (East Asian common octopus)
Lineage: Eukaryota; Metazoa; Mollusca; Cephalopoda; Octopoda; Octopodidae
Exons: 3
Source: RefSeq, a predicted model, not a curated record
AAUUCAUGUUAUAAAUUUGAAAAUUUAAGAAUUCAAAAAUUCUUUGUCUAUAUACAAAAUAAAAAUUUAUAUAUAUAUAUAUCGCACUGCCAGUCCAGGAAUCGAAACCACGUUCUUGUGAUCGUGAGUCAAUACACUAAGCACUGGGCCACGCGCCUUCACACAACACACACACACACGCACACACACACACACACGUGUGUAUGUGUGAGUGUAUUUGUGUUUUAGUGAACGCGUUUCUCAUUCCCCCAACGCUUGACAAUCAAAGCUGGUUUGUUUUUCUUUCCGAAAUUUACCAGUUCGGCAGAAGAGACCGAUAGAAUAAGUACCUAAUACAUAACAAGAUCUCUAAGUACUGGGAUCGAUGUGUUCGACUAAAAACGUUAUAUUUUAUACAUCAACAUUACCAUUAAUAUUCUGAAUAUAGCAGAAAUAAAAGAAAUAAGAAAUAAAAAUUAUAGUUUUAGAAUAAGUUUUAUUUACCUAAUAAACUACAUGCAACAGUAAAUAAAGUAAAAAUUAAAUAUUGUACUGUACUAUACUUUGAAAAGCAACAAUCUAUGUUAGAGACAGUAGAAACUUUCUUUCUUUUAAUGACAAUUAACUAAUUAACACAAAUCAGGACAAAUUCUCUUCACGCGACUUUUUUUUUUUUUUUUACGUGGGGAAGAAGUCGGAAGAGUUGAGAGUUCUGACUAUCUGAGUAUUGUGUGUCAGAUAAAAGGGAGGUUAUUGUAUAUAUGUAUUAUACUACUAGUGACAAAUACAGCUCUCGCUUGAACCAUUGAAGAAGCCUCUACGCAGUCGCUAAACCAGCUAGAAAUAGCAAGCAAAUCACUCUCAAAUUACAGCCCUUUGUCAGGACAACGUGUGUGUAUGUAUGUAUGUAUGUAUGUAUGUAUGUAUAUAUAGGUGUGUG